This 238-nucleotide ribosomal RNA is filed under the name uncultured bacterium. RNAcentral describes it as "partial 16S ribosomal RNA". It matches the Rfam family "Bacterial small subunit ribosomal RNA", at positions 100 to 334 of the family's 1533-position model. The record is from RNAcentral.
CGGAACGGGUGAGUAACGCGUGAGGAACCUGCCUCAAAGAGGGGGACAACAGUUGGAAACGACUGCUAAUACCGCAUAAGCCCACAGGUCGGCAUCGACCAGAGGGAAAAGGAGCAAUCCGCUUUGAGAUGGCCUCGCGUCCGAUUAGCUAGUUGGUGAGGUAAUGGCCCACCAAGGCGACGAUCGGUAGCCGGACUGAGAGGUUGAACGGCCACAUUGGGACUGAGACACGGCCCAG